This is a long non-coding RNA of Neomonachus schauinslandi (Hawaiian monk seal), 210 nucleotides long. RefSeq lists it as uncharacterized. The transcript is spliced from 3 exons. Lineage: Eukaryota; Metazoa; Chordata; Mammalia; Carnivora; Phocidae. The record is from RefSeq and is a predicted model, not a curated record.
AGCAGACAUGGACCCGACCUUGGGACACCUAUCAAAGUGACCAUUGACCCAGUGCGCAUGGUUCUGAGCACCUGGGCGAGCCCGCUCUCUAGAACAACUACCAGCGGCCAUGCAGGGGUGUUGUCCGACUCCUACAUCAGGCACCACUACAUUCUCCUGGCGUUCCUGAAGGUGCCCAUCUUGCUCGCAUUGGUCGGUGCUGUCCUUUGG